This is a long non-coding RNA of Engraulis encrasicolus (European anchovy), 341 nucleotides long. RefSeq lists it as uncharacterized. Lineage: Eukaryota; Metazoa; Chordata; Actinopteri; Clupeiformes; Engraulidae. The record is from RefSeq and is a predicted model, not a curated record. The transcript is spliced from 2 exons.
UUUCUAUGGGUGUCUUUCAAUUUCUUGUUUGACAUAUGUCUUUUGAGUGUAGUUGGCUCACUUGGUGAACUCCUGUAAGAAAGUGUAGUGUACCUUUAAGAAGUGCAAGCUCUCUAAAGUCACAUGACCUGCAUUUGUUUUAAGAAAGGAAAUGGUAACUCUGCACUCACUUUCAACAUCUGAGUCAGACCCUGUGUGCAGCCAGCUAGUUAAUUACCUGCUGUCACUGCUCUGAACUGCUGUCACUGCUGUUACCUGCGGUUACUGCUGCUAUCUACUACUGUUGCUGCCACUACUUUGCACUGCCACUGUGGAAGAAAAAUAAAAAGCAAAAGUGAAAA